AAAAACAUCUAAGGUGAAACUAAUAAUUCAUAGUUUAAUUUAAAUGAUACAGAAAAAGAUUCUAUUAAUUUUGUUUUUUGAGCUUCACCAUAUAAGUAUGGAGAUAACUUCUCUAUAAUUCUCUCCAAUACUUGUUUGUUGAUGUGAACGUCGUUAUUUGUGAUCGCUUUGAUAGUAUUUUAUGUCGACGUUAUUUAACUGAAGUGUUGGUCGGUGUUUGAAAUUAGCUUGGGGACGAAAGAUGUUAUGCUAGCUCUUGAUGAUGGUGAAGAUGAGAUGACUGUAUAUUUUCUUUUCACCAUUUUUCGGAGGUCAUUACGAAUUUCAUAAAAUCGUUUGAUUCAUUCCAUGACAUGAUAGAUGCAGUUGAAUGCAUUGAAGCCAUUAUCAAACUUUCGAUUGAAAUGUGUAAAAGUGUCAGAGAAGAAGAUGAUAUAAAAAAUAGAAAUUGUUUUAUUAAUUUAUAGAAAAAUAAACAUUUGAAUCAAUGGUUGUAAACAAAAACAAUUAUAACCACAAAUUAAACUCAUCUAAAAUUAGUAAAGAUUUUAAUCUUCAUUAAAAUGAUAAAAUUGCAUCAAAAUCAAAAAAAAAAAUUUCCAAUAUAUACUUUUUUUUUGCAAAAAAAAUGAAUGAAUUUAUAAUAAAUAUUAAAAAAAAUUAAAUUAUUAAUUGAAUGAAUCUAAAGAGACAAACUUUUUGAAAUUUAAUGGUUUCGCCUAGAUUUACCGUUGAUUCUUAUAUCCACCGGUAGCUGAUAAACUCAGAAAUCGUUAGACUCACCCCAGUCAUUUAAGUGUUUUUGAUCAUUUUAAUUAUUUUUUUACUCCAUCUAAACCCUAACCCUAAAAGACUUAUAUAGAAAAGUACAGACUUAUGUAAAUGGAUCCUUGAAAAUCCAGAGAUUUUGAUUUGAAAUAAUAUAUUUUAUCAGGGAAUUAAGAUUGCUUUGAAAUAAAAAUAUCAAAUAUUAGACCUAAAUAAACCAUACAUAACAUUAUUAUUUAAUUAAAAAUUAAUUUGAAAUCGACAUAGUGGACAAGAUGUAUUUUUUUAAAAAAACCAUUUUAAUACGCAACACAUAUGAAAAACAUGUUUGCAAGGAGGUUCCGCAAUGGUAUAUUUUUUCUCUUUGAAGUCAUUUGAACAUAUUGAACACAUUUUCUGAUCAUUGAUAUUGCCAUCAUCAUCAACAUCAUCGCCCCAGAAGAAAAUUUUAGUAGAUACGACUAUUCUGUACUUCAAAUCUUUCUUCAUAACCUUAUUGUUCUAUUUCAAAAACAUCUCGGGUGAAACUAAUAAUUCAUAGUUUAAUUUAAAUGAUACAUCCAAAGAUUCUGAUAAUGUUGUUUUUUGAGCUUCACCAUAUAAGUAUGGAGAUAACUUCUCUAUAAUUCUCUCCAAUACUUGUUUGUUGAUGUGAACACCGUUAUUGGUGAUCGUUUUGAUAGUAUUUUCUGUCGACGUUAUGGAACUGAAGUGUUGGUCGGUAUUUAAAAUUAGCUUGGGGACGGAAGAUGUCAUGCUAGCUCUUGAUGAUGGUGAAGAUGAGAUGACUGUGUAGUUUCUGUUCACCGUAACUUCCAUAAGAACGACACGAAAUCGGUAUACAGUUUCAGGCAGAUACCAAUUUUCGCAGGUCAUUUCGAAUUUCAUAAAAUCGUUUGAUUCAUUCCAUGACAUGAUAGAUGCAGUUGAUAUCAUUGCAGCCGUUAUCAAACUUUUGAAUGAAAUGUGUAAAGAGGGUCAGAGAACAUGAUGAUAUAAAAAUUGUAAAUGGUUUUAUUAAUUUAUAGAAAAAUAAAGAUUUGAAUCAAUGGUUGUAAACAAAAACAAUUAUAACCACAAAUUAAACUCAUCUAAAAUUAGUAAAGAUUUUAAUCUUCACUAAAAUUAUAAAAUUGCAUCAAAAUCAAAAAAAAAAGUUCCAAUAUAUAUUUUUUUUUUUGCAAAAAAAUUGAAUGAAUUUAUAAUAAAUAGUAAAAAAAAUUAAAUUAUUAAUUGAAUGAAUCUAAAGAGACAACCUAUUUGAAAUUUUAUGGUUUCUCCUAGAUUUACCGUUGAUUCUUAGAUCCACCGGUAGCCGAAAAACUCAGAAAUCCUUAGACUCACCCCAGUCAUUUAAGUGUUUUUGAUCAUUUUGAUCAUUUUUUUACUCCAUCUAAACCCUAACCCUAAAAGACUUAUAUGGAAAAGUACAGACUUAUGUAAAUGGAUCCUUGAAAAUCCAGAGAUUUUGAUUUGAAAUAAUAUAUUUUAUCAAGGAAUUAAGAUUGCUUUGAAAUAAAAAUAUCAAAUAUUAGACCUAAAUAAACCAUACAUAACAUUAUUAUUUAAUUAAAAAUUAAUUUGAAAUCGACAUAGUGGACAAGAUGUAUUUUUUUUAACAAACCAUUUUAAUACGCAACACAUAUGAAAAUCAUGUUUGCAAGGAAGUUCCGCAACGGUAUAUUUUUUCUCUUUGAAGUCAUUUAAACAUAUUGAACACAUUUUCUGAUUAUUGAUAUUGCCAUCAUCAUCAACAUCAUCGCCCCAGAAGAAAAUUUUAGUAGAUGCGACUAUUCUGUACUUCAAAUCUUUCUUCAUAACCUUAUUGUUCUCUUUCAAAAACAUCUAAGUGAAACUAAUAAUUCAUAGUUUAAUUUAAAUGAUACAGAAAAAGAUUCUAUUAAUUUUGUUUUUUGAGCUUCACCAUAUAAGUAUGGAGAUAACUUCUCUAUAAUUCUCUCCAAUACUUGUUUGUUGAUGUGAACGUCGUUAUUUGUGAUCGCUUUGAUAGUAUUUUAUGUCGACGUUAUUUAACUGAAGUGUUGGUCGGUGUUUGAAAUUAGCUUGGGGACGAAAGAUGUUAUGCUAGCUCUUGAUGAUGAUGAAGAUGAGAUGACUGUAUAUUUUCUUUUCACCAUUUUUCGGAGGUCAUUACGAAUUUCAUAAAAUCGUUUGAUUCAUUCCAUGACAUGUUAGAUGCAGUUGAAUGCAUUGAAGCCAUUAUCAAACUUUCGAUUGAAAUGUGUAAAAGUGUCA
This 3024-nucleotide long non-coding RNA is filed under the name Zostera marina. RNAcentral describes it as "long non-coding RNA (ZMAR_LNC003330)". The record is from RNAcentral. Lineage: Eukaryota; Viridiplantae; Streptophyta; Magnoliopsida; Alismatales; Zosteraceae.